UACGUAGGUGGCAAGCGUUGUCCGGAUUUACUGGGCGUAAAGAGCGCGCAGGCGGUCGUUCAAGUCGCGUGUGAAAGCCCCCGGCUCAACUGGGGAGGGUCACGCGAUACUGAUCGACUCGAAGGCAGGAGAGGGUAGUGGAAUUCCCGGUGUAGUGGUGAAAUGCGCAGAUAUCAGGAGGAACACCAAUUGCGAAGGCAGCUCGCUGGGACGUAACUGACGCUGAGACGCGAAAGCGUGGGGAGCAAACAGG
Molecule: ribosomal RNA, 253 nt
Filed under: uncultured bacterium
Lineage: Bacteria
Description: partial 16S ribosomal RNA
Rfam family: Bacterial small subunit ribosomal RNA
Source: RNAcentral